UUGGUGGAGAAGUUAAAAGUUGAACACGGCAAACAUAGUGAGAGACAUGUGAGCAAGCACCAAAGGCUUCACAGGUCUCUACUUGGAGCAAAGGCCAUCUAGCUGGCAGUUUUUACUUAGCUGGAAGCAAUGGCCUGAGAGGGCGCACACAUCCAGUUUCUAUAGCUAUAAUACCCAGAUGAUGUGUAUAAUGUUGGAUACAAAUCCAGACGUCAUGCGUCGGGAAUGCCCUCAUGUGCAUCUGGGCCAAAAAAGCUUAAUUACUUAAGGAGGCUGUCAGUGAAGUGAUGCCACUUAAAUUUUUCAUCACGCACAACACGGGCUUUCUAUGUCUUUAACUCAAAAAACCUGCGGGAACCUUGUUGACAUCUCCCAAGCCACCUUCUAAGUUUAAACCCACAGAGAGAGACAUGAAACACCCCCAGGGCCUAUAAAUAGCAGCCUCGCAGUAGAGACAACAACAAAACCACCAGAGCUUCUCCAAGAGCAAAGGACUUCCAGGAGCCAACAUACUAGAUACAGAAAGCAUUAGCUCAGUAGAAUCCCACAAGGGAAGCUUUACCUGCUCCAAGGAUGUCCUCACCGAGCUCGAACUCAGAGUGGAGCAAGAAGGAGAACAAGAUGUUUGAGGAGGCACUCGCCUACUACGGCGUGGGAGCCCCCAACCUCUGGGAGAAGGUGGCCAGCGCCAUGGGGGGCACCAAGUCCGCCGAGGAGGUGCGCCGCCACUUCCAGUUCCUCGUUGACGACGUCAAGAACAUCGAGCACGGACGCAUCCCCUUCCCCAAGUACAAGACCCAGGGCUUCUGGACCUAAAAGGAUGAAGCAGUGUAAACUCCAGUGGACAGUGAACAAAGUUGUACAAACUAGAUCUCUUAAGAAUGGACUGAUGUUAUAGGGGUGUGCAAGGCAAUUCAGCAUUGAUUAGAAUAGCAGGAAGAAAAGGAGUUGUAUAUUGUGUGUACAAAGUAUUAUUAGGUUAUGUCCAAGGUUAAGUCUCUAUGUUGCUGUAGAUUAUCAUCUAGAUUCAUGAACUGCAUGUUGUUCAUUAUCCCCUCAAACCAAGUCGUCAACUAAACCAUCAUGUAAACUCAUGUAUUUGUGGUAUUUGUAAGAAGUCGUACCUGUAGCAUUUUGUCGCCCCCCAAGAUCUGGUUUAGCUGGCCACCAUGUUCAAUUUGGACUCCACAGGUCCAAAAAGCACACAGAAUCCUUGUCACCAC
RNAcentral lists this ribosomal RNA (1223 nucleotides) under Triticum aestivum (bread wheat). RNAcentral describes it as "partial small subunit ribosomal RNA". The record is from RNAcentral. Lineage: Eukaryota; Viridiplantae; Streptophyta; Magnoliopsida; Poales; Poaceae.